RNAcentral lists this signal recognition particle RNA (266 nucleotides) under Actinomycetes bacterium. RNAcentral's name for it is "Actinobacteria bacterium signal recognition particle sRNA large type". It matches the Rfam family "Bacterial large signal recognition particle RNA". From Rfam's summary of the family: The signal recognition particle (SRP) is a universally conserved ribonucleoprotein involved in the co-translational targeting of proteins to membranes. Archaeal SRP consists of a 7S RNA and homologues of the eukaryotic SRP19 and SRP54 proteins. In most bacteria, the SRP consists of a 4.5S RNA and the Ffh protein (a homologue of the eukaryotic SRP54 protein). Lineage: Bacteria; Bacillati; Actinomycetota; Actinomycetes. The record is from RNAcentral. RNAcentral also lists the same sequence under 1 other name.
CCGUGCUAGGCGGGGAGGUAGCGGUGCCCUGUACCCGCAAUCCGCUCUAGCGGGGCUGAACUCCUCUCCGAGGGGCUCCGCUCCGGUCGCUUCGUCGCUCGCGGCGUCGAUGGCACGGGUCCCGCGCGGUGUCGGCUCGUGAAUCAGGUCAGGUCCGGAAGGAAGCAGCCUUAAGCGAUGCCCGAUAGGCGCAGCGGGAGCUCCCGGCCGGAGUCGCGAGCGGCGAUCAGGCGCCCGUGGCGGGAGGCUCGACGAGGGGUGCACGG